GCUCGUAUGUUGAAAUUGGUAAACAAGACGGACUUAAAAUCCGUUGGGAGUUAUCCCUUAUAGGUUCAAGUCCUAUUACGAGCA
This 84-nucleotide transfer RNA is filed under the name Bacteriophage sp. Its description in RNAcentral is "tRNA-Leu". It matches the Rfam family "tRNA". From Rfam's summary of the family: Transfer RNA (tRNA) molecules are approximately 80 nucleotides in length. Their secondary structure includes four short double-helical elements and three loops (D, anti-codon, and T loops). The record is from RNAcentral.